Molecule: ribosomal RNA, 645 nt
Filed under: Microbacterium sp.
Lineage: Bacteria; Bacillati; Actinomycetota; Actinomycetes; Micrococcales; Microbacteriaceae
Description: bacterial SSU rRNA
Rfam family: Bacterial small subunit ribosomal RNA
Source: RNAcentral
GGUGAGUAACACGUGAGCAACCUGCCCUGGACUCUGGGAUAAGCGCUGGAAACGGCGUCUAAUACUGGAUAUGAGACGUGAUCGCAUGGUCAACGUUUGGAAAGAUUUUUCGGUCUGGGAUGGGCUCGCGGCCUAUCAGCUUGUUGGUGAGGUAAUGGCUCACCAAGGCGUCGACGGGUAGCCGGCCUGAGAGGGUGACCGGCCACACUGGGACUGAGACACGGCCCAGACUCCUACGGGAGGCAGCAGUGGGGAAUAUUGCACAAUGGGCGGAAGCCUGAUGCAGCAACGCCGCGUGAGGGAUGACGGCCUUCGGGUUGUAAACCUCUUUUAGCAGGGAAGAAGCGAAAGUGACGGUACCUGCAGAAAAAGCGCCGGCUAACUACGUGCCAGCAGCCGCGGUAAUACGUAGGGCGCAAGCGUUAUCCGGAAUUAUUGGGCGUAAAGAGCUCGUAGGCGGUUUGUCGCGUCUGCUGUGAAAUCCCGAGGCUCAACCUCGGGCCUGCAGUGGGUACGGGCAGACUAGAGUGCGGUAGGGGAGAUUGGAAUUCCUGGUGUAGCGGUGGAAUGCGCAGAUAUCAGGAGGAACACCGAUGGCGAAGGCAGAUCUCUGGGCCGUAACUGACGCUGAGGAGCGAAAGGGUG